Molecule: ribosomal RNA, 332 nt
Filed under: uncultured bacterium
Lineage: Bacteria
Description: bacterial SSU rRNA
Rfam family: Bacterial small subunit ribosomal RNA
Source: RNAcentral
UGCGUAGGCGGUUUGGUAAGUCUUGUGUGAAAUCUUCGGGCUCAACUCGAAGUCUGCACGAGAAACUGCCGGGCUUGAGUGUGGGAGAGGUGAGUGGAAUUUCCGGUGUAGCGGUGAAAUGCGUAGAUAUCGGAAGGAACACCUGUGGCGAAAGCGGCUCACUGGACCACAACUGACGCUGAGGCACGAAAGCUAGGGGAGCAAACAGGAUUAGAUACCCUGGUAGUCCUAGCCCUAAACGAUGAUCGCUUGGUGUGACGGGUACCCAAUCCCGUCGUGCCGCAGCUAACGCGUUAAGCGAUCCGCCUGGGGAGUACGGUCGCAAGGCUGAA